Quercus robur (English oak) is the source of this 618-nucleotide long non-coding RNA. RefSeq lists it as uncharacterized. The transcript is spliced from 2 exons. NCBI's taxonomy places the organism in Eukaryota, Viridiplantae, Streptophyta, Magnoliopsida, Fagales, Fagaceae. The record is from RefSeq and is a predicted model, not a curated record.
CAAAAUCCAAACGGACUUCUUAACAAGCAUCUGAAUAUGCUCAGCCAAGAGUAUGCCCUUUCCGUCUUGCAUCUCAUCUUUUCACAGCAUCUGCAAUUUCCUUUGGCCUUUUCUGGACUGCUCUUUCUGUUGUUAUGCCCGAGCCACCUGCUGAAUCAGUAGCUUGGGUUCGUGGAGCGGCCAAAGUAAAGAGACUUGCCCUUCUUGUUGGCAUACUUGUUGGCAUGUUGCCAUUACUGCUGUCUCUGGAGAAUUUGUUGCUGGAAAUGAUGCUGGUCAUGCUUAUAAUACUUUUCCAAAGAUGGGUGAUACAUGGAUACCAGAAGAUGUCCUUGACAUGAAGCCACUAAUUCGAAAUUUCGUUGAGAAUACCUCUACUAUGCAGGUAUUAAUUCUCAGCUGAGACUAUAUUUUAACUUCUUUAACAGUUUAAUUUUGUUGUUUUCUAGAUGGUUGCUUCAACUGCUACGUGCUAAUGCCAUGUUGCCUCUUCAAAUUGGUAAAGAUUGAAAUAAAGAAAAAUUAAGAAUUGAGAAGAAAAUGUUAUGUGAGGUUUUUAUUUGUAGAGCAAAUGUUGCUGAAUGAGAAUAUUAAUAAAUCCUUUGCUCCUCUUCUUUA